RNAcentral lists this ribosomal RNA (278 nucleotides) under uncultured bacterium. RNAcentral describes it as "partial 16S ribosomal RNA". It matches the Rfam family "Bacterial small subunit ribosomal RNA", at positions 506 to 784 of the family's 1533-position model. The record is from RNAcentral.
UGCCAGCCGCCGCGGUAAUACGGAGGGUGCAAGCGUUGUUCGGAAUUAUUGGGCGUAAAGCGCGUGUAGGCGGUUCGUUAAGUCUGAUGUGAAAGCCCGGGGCUCAACCCCGGCACUGCAUUUGAAACUGCGAGACUAGAGGAUAGACGGAGAAGUAGAAUUCCAUAUGUAGCGGUGAAAUGCGUAGAUAUAUGGAGGAAUACCGGUGGCGAAGGCGACUUUCUAGUUUAUUCCUGACGCUGAGGUAUGAAAGCUAGGGGAGCAAACAGGAUUAGAUA